Amblyraja radiata (thorny skate) is the source of this 309-nucleotide long non-coding RNA. RefSeq lists it as uncharacterized. NCBI's taxonomy places the organism in Eukaryota, Metazoa, Chordata, Chondrichthyes, Rajiformes, Rajidae. The transcript has 3 exons. The record is from RefSeq and is a predicted model, not a curated record.
CACAGCUUCACACCGGUUAAAGAAGCUGUCGAAACCUACAAGGAUCAGGUUAAAGAUUCCAUCGAAUUUCUAACAAAAAAUAAAUCAGAGAUCCAGCGAAUGGAGCAGCAACAGGAACAGAAGAUUUCUCAAGUUCUGGAACAGUCACUCAACCUUCAGUCCAAGAUCUCAUCCCAAUUUGCUGAACAGCACAAGAUUCUCACUGAGAAAGAGCAGCGCGCACUGGCAGAUAUCGGAGAGGAAGAGAAGAAGAUUCUAAAUACAAUGGAGAGAAAUCUUGGAGGGAUUCAAGAGAAUUUAAAAUCUAUU